UGCGAGCAUGGAGAAAAGGCGUCUCGCCGGGUUCAUAUCCCGGACAUCGGGUGGUUCAAUUCCACCGCUCGCAACCA
RNAcentral lists this transfer RNA (77 nucleotides) under Gallionellales bacterium RBG_16_56_9. Its description in RNAcentral is "tRNA-Met". The record is from RNAcentral. Lineage: Bacteria; Pseudomonadati; Pseudomonadota; Betaproteobacteria; Nitrosomonadales.